Lonchura striata (white-rumped munia) is the source of this 508-nucleotide non-coding RNA. The record is from RefSeq and is a predicted model, not a curated record. Lineage: Eukaryota; Metazoa; Chordata; Aves; Passeriformes; Estrildidae.
GGGACACACUGGGGAUGGCAGUGACAAACUGGAGCUCGAUUUUCACUCUGCAGGAAGUAAAAGAAACACUUUUGAACGAUGCAGGAAACAAAAAAAAAAUCAGAAAUCGACGUGCUGCUGAGAGUGUGAGAGCUGAGCACCCCCCAGGCCCUCCAGGCACCCAGGCUGUGAAAAAUCCAUAUUUUAUGAGAUUUCACCUGGGGCUGCCUCGCUCUGCUCCCAUGAAAAUGAGAUUUCGUUGGAGAUUUCCUCGGGAAAAGGGAACCGAGGCCCCCCAACGGCUGCAAAAAGGACAAAGGAAGGGGAAAAAACGCUCCAAAAAAAUCAGGUGGGAUCAGGAGGGAUUUCCCCAUGGAAUCGGGAAUUUCCACGUGGAAUAGGCAGGAAUUUUCCUACAGGAUCAGGGGGAACUUCCUCAUGGGAUCAGGAAUUUCCUUUUGGAAUCAGGAGGAAUUUUCCCAUGGAAUUAGGAGGAAUUUUCCUGUGGAAUUAGGAGGAAAUUCCUCAU